UACAGAGGGUGCAAGCGUUGUUCGGAAUUAUUGGGCGUAAAGCGCGUGUAGGCGGCAGUGCAAGUCGGUGUGAAAGCCCUCAGCUCAACUGAGGAAGUGCGCCCGAAACUGCAUUGCUUGAGUACCGGAGAGGAUGGUGGAAUUCCGAAGUAGAGGUGAAUUCGUAGAUAUCGGAGGAACACCGGUGGCGAAGCGACCAUCUGACGGAUACUGACGCUGAGACGCGAAGCGUGGUAGCAACAG
This 243-nucleotide ribosomal RNA is filed under the name uncultured bacterium. Its description in RNAcentral is "partial 16S ribosomal RNA". It matches the Rfam family "Bacterial small subunit ribosomal RNA", at positions 524 to 775 of the family's 1533-position model. The record is from RNAcentral.